GGGCCCGCACAAGCGGUGGAGCAUGUGGUUUAAUUCGAUGAUACGCGAGGAACCUUACCAGGGCUUAAAUGUAGUCUGACAGGGGUGGAAACACCUCCUCCUUCGGGCAGAUUACAAGGUGCUGCAUGGUUGUCGUCAGCUCGUGCCGUGAGGUGUCAGGUUAAGUCCUAUAACGAGCGCAACCCCUGCCGUUAGUUGCCAGCAUGUAAUGAUGGGAACUCUAACGGGACUGCCGGUGCAAACCGCGAGGAAGGUGGGGAUGACGUCAAAUCAUCACGGCCCUUACGUCCUGGGCUACACACGUGCUACAAUGGCCGGUACAGAGGGCAGCCACACCGCAAGGUGGAGCGAAUCCUUAAAACCGGUCUCAGUUCGGAUCGGGGUCUGCAACUCGGCCCCGUGAAGCUGGAAUUACUAGUAAUCGUGGAUC
This 430-nucleotide ribosomal RNA is filed under the name uncultured bacterium. RNAcentral describes it as "bacterial SSU rRNA". It matches the Rfam family "Bacterial small subunit ribosomal RNA", at positions 917 to 1350 of the family's 1533-position model. The record is from RNAcentral.